UGCUACUUCCUUGAGAAGGCACUCUGGCAGGACUGCCUAGGAAACUAGGAGGAAGGUGGGGAUGACGUCAAGUCCUCAUGGCCCUUAUGUCCAGGGCUACACACGUGUUACAAUGGCUAGUACAAAGGGAAGCGACCCCGCGAGGGUGAGCAAAUCUCGACAAAGCUAGUCUAAGUUCGGAUUGAAGUCUGCAACUCGACUUCAUGAAGUUGAAAUCGCUAGUAAUCGCGUAUCAGAACGACGCGGUGAAUACGUUCUCGGACCUUGUACACACCGCCCGUCACACCACGAAAAUCGUCUACACCCGAAGUUGUCUUAGCUAACCUGCAUAAGGAGGCGGAUAAUCAAGGUGUGGAGGGUAAUUGGGGUG
This 370-nucleotide ribosomal RNA is filed under the name uncultured bacterium. RNAcentral's name for it is "bacterial SSU rRNA". It matches the Rfam family "Bacterial small subunit ribosomal RNA", at positions 1116 to 1482 of the family's 1533-position model. The record is from RNAcentral.